This is a ribosomal RNA of 519 nucleotides. It matches the Rfam family "Bacterial large subunit ribosomal RNA", at positions 1856 to 2579 of the family's 2925-position model.
AGCCUGCCCAGUGACUCUGUUCAACGGCCGCGGUAUCCUAACCGUGCGAAGGUAGCGUAAUCACUUGUUCUUUAAAUGUGGACUAGUAUGAAUGGCAUCACGAAGGUUAUACUGUCUCCUUUUUCUAAUCAGUGAAACUAAUCUCCCCGUGAAGAAGCGAGGAUAAAACUAUAAGACGAGAAGACCCUAUGGAGCUUUAAACAUUAUAACACUUGCUAAAUAAAAUACAAAUUUCAGAAUUAUUUACUCUUUAAGCAACUUGUCUAUAAGUUUUUGGUUGGGGUGACCGCGGAGCAUAAUACAACCUCCAUGUUGAAAGAUCUAUUUCUAAGCUAAGAGCUACACCUCUAAGCAUCAACAUAUUGACAUCCAUUGACCCAAUAUAUUUGAACAACGAACCAAGUUACCCUAGGGAUAACAGCGCAAUCCACUUCAAGAGCUCCUAUCGACAAGUGGGUUUACGACCUCGAUGUUGGAUCAGGGUUUCCCAGUGGUGCAGCCCUACUAAAGGUUCGUUUG